ACAUGCAAGUCGAGGGGAAACGGCAUUGGGUGCUUGCACUCUUUGGACGUCGACCGGCGCACGGGUGAGUAACGCGUAUCCAACCUUCCCAUUACUGUGGGGUAACCUGCCGAAAGGCAGACUAAUACCGCAUAGUCUUCGAUGAUGGCAUCAGAUUUGAAGUAAAGAUUUAUCGGUAAUGGAUGGAGAUGCGUCUGAUUAGCUUGUUGGCGGGGUAACGGCCCACCAAGGCUACGAUCAGUAGGGGUUCUGAGAGGAAGGUCCCCCACAUUGGAACUGAGACACGGUCCAAACUCCUACGGGAGGCAGCAGUGAGGAAUAUUGGUCAAUGGACGGAAGUCUGAACCAGCCAAGUAGCGUGCAGGAUGACGGCCCUAUGGGUUGUAAACUGCUUUUGUAUGGGGAUAAAGUUAGGGACGUGUCCCUAUUUGCAGGUACCAUACGAAUAAGGACCGGCUAAUUCCGUGCCAGCAGCCGCGGUAAUACGGAAGGUCCAGGCGUUAUCCGGAUUUAUUGGGUUUAAAGGGAGCGUAGGCUGGAGAUUAAGUGUGUUGUGAAAUGUAGACGCUCAACGUCUGAAUUGCAGCGCAUACUGGUUUCCUUGAGUACGCACAACGUUGGCGGAAUUCGUCGUGUAGCGGUGAAAUGCUUAGAUAUGACGAAGAACUCCGAUUGCGAAGGCAGCUGACGGGAGCGCAACUGACGCUUAAGCUCGAAGGUGCGGGUAUCAAACAGGAUUAGAUACCCUGGUAGUCCGCACAGUAAACGAUGGAUGCCCGCUGUUGGUACCUGGUAUCAGCGGCUAAGCGA
This 810-nucleotide ribosomal RNA is filed under the name uncultured Bacteroidota bacterium. Its description in RNAcentral is "bacterial SSU rRNA". It matches the Rfam family "Bacterial small subunit ribosomal RNA", at positions 53 to 854 of the family's 1533-position model. Lineage: Bacteria; Pseudomonadati; Bacteroidota. The record is from RNAcentral.